UGGACAACUACCUCCGGACGGGUAUAAACCGGGAAAUGGGUAUAAUCCCCGAUAGAUCUCGGUCGCUGGAAUGCCCCGAGAUCGAAAGCUCCGGCGCCAGAGGAUGGGUCUGCGGCCUAUCAGGUAGUAGUGGGUGUAGCGUACCUACUAGCCUACGACGGGUACGGGUUGUGAGAGCAAGAGCCCGGAGAUGGAUUCUGAGACACGAAUCCAGGCCCUACGGGGUGCAGCAGGCGCGAAAACUUUACAAUGCCGGCAACGGCGAUAAGGGGACCUCGAGUGCCAGGUUACAAAUCUGGCUGUCGUGAUGCCUAAAAAGCAUUGCAUAGCAAGGGCCGGGCAAGACCGGUGCCAGCCGCCGCGGUAACACCGGCGGCUCGAGUGGUAACCGUUAUUAUUGGGUCUAAAGGGUCUGUAGCCGGCCGGAUAAGUCUCUUGAGAAAUCCAGCAGCUCAACUGUUGGGCUUU
Molecule: ribosomal RNA, 468 nt
Filed under: uncultured Methanosaeta sp.
Lineage: Archaea; Methanobacteriati; Methanobacteriota; Methanomicrobia; Methanotrichales; Methanotrichaceae
Description: bacterial SSU rRNA
Rfam family: Archaeal small subunit ribosomal RNA
Source: RNAcentral